This 425-nucleotide ribosomal RNA is filed under the name uncultured bacterium. RNAcentral describes it as "partial 16S ribosomal RNA". It matches the Rfam family "Bacterial small subunit ribosomal RNA", at positions 354 to 796 of the family's 1533-position model. The record is from RNAcentral.
GUGGGGAAUCUUGCGCAAUGGGCGAAAGCCUGACGCAGCCAUGCCGCGUGGAUGAUGAAGGUCUUAGGAUUGUAAAAUCCUUUCACCGGUGAAGAUAAUGACUGUAGCCGGAGAAGAAGCCCCGGCUAACUUCGUGCCAGCAGCCGCGGUAAUACGAAGGGGGCUAGCGUUGCUCGGAUUUACUGGGCGUAAAGGGCGCGUAGGCGGACAUUUAAGUCAGGGGUGAAAUCCCGGGGCUCAACCUCGGAACUGCCUUUGAUACUGGGUGUCUUGAGUAUGAGAGAGGUGUGUGGAACUCCGAGUGUAGAGGUGAAAUUCGUAGAUAUUCGGAAGAACACCAGUAGCGAAGGCGACACACUGGCUCAUUACUGACGCUGAGGCGCGAAAGCGUGGGGAGCAAACAGGAUUAGAAACCCUGGUAGUCC